RNAcentral lists this ribosomal RNA (997 nucleotides) under uncultured bacterium. Its description in RNAcentral is "bacterial SSU rRNA". It matches the Rfam family "Bacterial small subunit ribosomal RNA", at positions 505 to 1500 of the family's 1533-position model. The record is from RNAcentral.
GUGCCAGCCGCCGCGGUAAUACGGAGGUGGCGAGCGUUACUCGGUUUGACUGGGUGUAAAGGGUCUGUAGGCGGCCUUACAAGUGGAAGGUGAAAUCUUUCGGCUUAACCGGAAAACUGCCUUUCAAACUGUAUGGCUUGAGGAUGGAAGAGGAGAGCGGAACUGUUGGUGUAAAGGUGAAAUUUGUGGAGAUCGACAGGAACGCCCGUGGAGAAGUCGGCUCUCUGGUCCAUACCUGACGCUGAGGGACGAAAGCUAGGGGAGCGAACAGGAUUAGAUACCCUGGUAGUCCUAGCUGUAAACGAUGGGCACUAGGUGUUCGUCCGUAGGAUGGGUGCCGCAGUUAACACAUUAAGUGCCCCACCUGGGGACUACGGUCGCAAGGCUAAAACUCAAAGGAAUUGACGGGGACCCGCACAAGCGGUGGAACACGUGGUUUAAUUCGAUGCUACGCGAGAAACCUUAUCCAGGGUUUGACAUGCAGAAAGUAAUUCCGAUGAAAAUCGGGAUGAUCGGUAUCCAGUCCGAAAUCUGCACAGGUGCUGCAUGGCUGUCGUCAGCUCGUGCCGUGAGGUGUUCCCUUAAGUGGGAGAACGAGCGCAACCCUCGCCCUUUGUUGCCACCCUCCCAGCUUGUCUAGAAGGAGCACUCUAAGGGGACUGCCCGCGUUAAGUGGGAGGAAGGUGGGGAUGACGUCAAGUCCGCAUGGCCUUUAUGUCCUGGGCUACACACGUGUUACAAUGUCUGUUACAAUGAGAAGCGAAAUCGUAAGGUGGAGCAAAUCUCUAAAAAAUAGGCUCAGUACGGAUUGUAGGCUGCAAUUUGCCUGCAUGAAGCUGGAAUCGCUAGUAAUGGCGCAUCAUCACGGCGCCGUGAAUACGUUCCCGGGCCUUGUACACACCGCCGUCAAGCGCUGAAAGUGGGGGGCGCCUGAAGUGCCGCCUUAGCGGAUCACGGUGAAUUUCAUGAUUUGGCGCUUAAGUCGUAACAAGGUACC